AUGCUAGAAUACAGAUAAAAAGACUUCAAAAAUAGAACUUUAGAGGUAGCAAAUAGGAUUAAAGCAGUUUAAGACAUUGGAAUUUGACCUUCAGACUGUGUCCAAGACGCCAACAAACGAGGAAUGAGGCUUGAAUACAACAGUCAAGACAAAUAUAAAACUGGCAUAAUAGAAAAGAAUUCAUAGUGUUUAUAGUGAACUAGUCUUGUUUCCUCCUAAAAACAGAAUCUUUAGCUGUGUCGAGAGAUUAGCAAUGGAGCUGGGCAAUUCACCCUCCAGAUUAUUAGUAGUUGCACCUAUAGCUUUUAGACGGGUGCAGUUGGUAA
This is a long non-coding RNA of Magnolia sinica, 326 nucleotides long. RefSeq lists it as uncharacterized. Lineage: Eukaryota; Viridiplantae; Streptophyta; Magnoliopsida; Magnoliales; Magnoliaceae. The record is from RefSeq and is a predicted model, not a curated record. The transcript is spliced from 2 exons.